RNA transcript from Sebastes umbrosus (honeycomb rockfish), 1328 nucleotides. It is a transcript of the gene named coiled-coil domain-containing protein 122-like, with no coding region annotated. The transcript is spliced from 7 exons. The record is from RefSeq and is a predicted model, not a curated record. NCBI's taxonomy places the organism in Eukaryota, Metazoa, Chordata, Actinopteri, Perciformes, Sebastidae.
AUUAUUUGAUGAGACAUACAAAAGUAAACUCAAAGUGAAUUUAGUGCAAACGGCUAACGUUAGUCAACGGCUUUAACAAACAUAACAUUAGCUAACUGAUGCUAAAAUGUCAAACUUUAGAGCGAGUGAAGCCGGAUCUCAGGAGAAACCUGGGUUCUCAUUAACCAAGGCGGUGGAGGACGUCAGCCAGCACGGCUUCGCCCAGACCGAGGCCCUGAGAGACAACCAGAAGACCCUCAUCUCCCUGCAGGCAACUCUCUCAGAGGUUGAGGAGAAAGGUGAGGUGGCGGAGCAGGAGCUGAGAUCUAAAGUGAGGGAGUUCCUGAUGCUGGAGGGCGAGAUGGAGCACCUGGAGCGGCAGGCCAAAGUCCUGCAUGAUCGCUGUACAUCCAUCGGCAAGGAAAACACAGAGCUACAGAUUGGUAUAAUCGAUGAGGAGGAGAACGCUCGCAUGGCACUGGCAAACUUCAACACAUAUAGAAAUAAGAUGGAGUGUCACAGAGCUGCUGUGUUGCAUGCGGCGAGCCAGACGGAGGCCCACAAAGAGCUGGAGGAGAAGAGGAUGCUGGUCCGGAUGCUGACACAGAAGAAAGAGGAGCUGAGGGAAGAUUUGGGGAAUCCAAAUGGAAACACAGUGCAGAUGGCAAAGAGUGAGCGUAACGCUCUGAAGAUUGAGUUCUCUGUGAUGAAGGAGACUGUAGCGAAGAAGAGAGAGCAACUACAAAAACAGUUUGCAACUCAUACCCAGAUAAAGAAAGACAUAGAGAUCCAGAACAGGCGCUAUGAAGCCAUCGUCAAACGGCUCCACUGCCAACUGAGCCGGGCCCAGGCUGCACACAGGAUACGUUCCACAUAUUAAACGCUGCCAAACUGUGUGUGCUUCACUCAGGCAAAUGUCUGAAGACGUCUACCACAUGGAGAGAGAGCUAGCCGAGCUCAAAGGGCAGCUGGAGUCAUCUCAGGACUCAGCGCAGCAGCGUCGUAAAUAGACGAGGUUAAUCCUGUCCGAGUACAUCCUGUCCCUGCCGCGGCGGCGUGCUUGAAGAAAACACCUUUUGUCAAUGAAACAGGAUUUGCGAAAGUGCCAUCUGGACAGGAGCUCCAUCUCCACGCUGCGUCUGAUCCACCGAGCCAGCCGGUCAGCUGGUCCGAGGUCACGGAUCAGACUGACCUGAGGAGGAAGAGGAGGCACGUCGACGCCCUCCAAAUAGAUAUAUUAAUUAGAUUUUGUCCCACGUCACCCAAAAACUGAAGCUCUUGUUUCAUAUUUAUCAUACCAGAGGUGUAAAAAAACACAAAGCUUUUCAUUAAAAUUAAUUAAUAUCCCA